This 169-nucleotide unclassified non-coding RNA is filed under the name Glomeromycotina sp. RNAcentral describes it as "partial contains small subunit ribosomal RNA, internal transcribed spacer 1, and 5.8S ribosomal RNA". The stretch from base 1 to 47 matches the Rfam family "Eukaryotic small subunit ribosomal RNA", at positions 1785 to 1831 of the family's 1831-position model. The record is from RNAcentral. Lineage: Eukaryota; Fungi; Glomeromycota.
AAAGUCGUAACAAGGUUUCCGUAGGUGAACCUGCGGAAGGAUCAUUAGAAUAUUGGGAAUUUAUUUUCCUAAUACUUUAUUCAAAAAAUUUUCAAUCUACAAAUUUUUUUUUUUUAAAAAGUGAAAAUAUAAAUUAAGAUAACUUUCAACAACGGAUCUCUAGGCUCUU